Molecule: long non-coding RNA, 1160 nt
Organism: Culex quinquefasciatus (southern house mosquito)
Lineage: Eukaryota; Metazoa; Arthropoda; Insecta; Diptera; Culicidae
Exons: 2
Source: RefSeq, a predicted model, not a curated record
AGAGAAUGAGAGAGAUGCGAAAAUAAGAGCGUGAGAAUCGAGGUUGGAAAAUAAAGCAGUCUUGUUGUACGUUUUGGCACGGAAACAUGUGUUUUUAUAUCGGUCUGAAAACUAGUCGAAAAUAUUGGUCCGAAAUUCUGUGUCGCGAGCCCGGAUCACGACAAUGGCGCGGAUCGGUUUCCCGAGCCUACGCGAUGUCAUUUCGAGGUGUUUUGUUUGCGGCGCGAUCAAAAGGGGAAUUAAAUGUUUGUGUUGACUGCGUUUUAUUUUCGUUUUCGCGAGUGUUAAAAAAAGUGUGAUGGGAAGUAAAAGAAGACCCUUGAGAAGACCUUAAAUUUCACGAGUGAGGGUUUAGUGCGGUGUUGCGGCAAAGCGGCGGUGUUUGGUAAAGGUGUUGGUGUUGGUGUUGUGGCGUUUCGAACGAGCCCUGCGGCACAACAGCGGUAUUUUUUUACAAGGCUGCACACCAACACAAACGCAUUCGUUUCCGUUCGGUGUGUCACCGGAGAUUACACGAGUUUGUUUCAAGGUGAAUCCAGGAUGGAACUAAGGUGGACUUGGAAAUCUUUGACAAAAUUUAACUGGAGGCAACAAAUUUGAGUAUCGAAUUGAUUAGUGAAUCCAAAAUAUUCUACAGACUUUUUUUUAUCGUUUCAGGUAACACCAUGAGAAAAAGGUUGACGGAUGGUGCACUGGAAUCUACCAUCGACAGGACAAUUUUGUACAAGCGAAUCAUGGGGAAGAAUGAAUUGUAAAUAUUAUAACGUUUUUGAAAAGAUGUAGGUUUUUAUGCGGACGGGCUUUUCCUACCAACAAAAAAAAAUGAAUCUAUUUAGUUUUUUUUCCAUGCCACAUAGAAUAGAUGUAUUAGUUGAAAUUAUUCACAUAGAGUAGAGGAGAGGGAGAAUGUAGGGAAUGAGUGCAGGUUCAGUUAAAUUAAAUUGUUUGUUUGUGUUAGUAGGCAUGCAAAAGACAGUAGAAAUUGAGAGGAGCAAAAAAAUUGGUAGCAAAUUACAGUAGAGCCCAUGUUUCCGAUGGUGUUGGCAAGCGAGAGCGUUUUGAGAGAGGCAAAAAGAGAGAAUGAGAGAGAUGCGAAAAUAAGAGCGUGAGAAUCGAGGUUGGAAAAUAAAGCAGUCUUGUUGUACGUUUUGGCACGGAAA